GGGAGCAUAGCUCAGCUGGUAGAGCACUUGCCUUACAAGCAAGGGGUCACAGGUUCGAGCCCUGUUGUUUCCACCA
This 76-nucleotide transfer RNA is filed under the name Clostridiales bacterium. RNAcentral describes it as "tRNA-Val". It matches the Rfam family "tRNA". From Rfam's summary of the family: Transfer RNA (tRNA) molecules are approximately 80 nucleotides in length. Their secondary structure includes four short double-helical elements and three loops (D, anti-codon, and T loops). The record is from RNAcentral. Lineage: Bacteria; Bacillati; Bacillota; Clostridia; Eubacteriales.